UUCGCCCUUAGAGUUUGACCCUGGCUCAGGACGAACGCUGGCGGCGCGCCUAACACAUGCAAGUCGAACGAGCGAGAGAGAGCUUGCUUUCUCGAGCGAGUGGCGAACGGGUGAGUAACGCGUGAGGAACCUGCCUCAAAGAGGGGGACAACAGUUGGAAACGACUGCUAAUACCGCAUAAGCCCACGGGUCGGCAUCGACCAGAGGGAAAAGGAGCAAUCCGCUUUGAGAUGGCCUCGCGUCCGAUUAGCUGGUUGGUGAGGUAAUGGCCCACCAAGGCGACGAUCGGUAGCCGGACUGAGAGGUUGAACGGCCACAUUGGGACUGAGACACGGCCCAGACUCCUACGGGAGGCAGCAGUGGGGAAUAUUGCACAAUGGGGGAAACCCUGAUGCAGCGACGCCGCGUGGAGGAAGAAGGUCUUCGGAUUGUAAACUCCUGUUGUUGAGGAAGAUAAUGACGGUACUCAACAAGGAAGUGACGGCUAACUACGUGCCAGCAGCCGCGGUAAAACGUAGGUCACAAGCGUUGUCCGGAAUUACUGGGUGUAAAGGGAGCGCAGGCGGGAAGACAAGUUGGAAGUGAAAUCCAUGGGCUCAACCCAUGAACUGCUUUCAAAACUGUUUUUCUUGAGUAGUGCAGAGGUAGGCGGAAUUCCCGGUGUAGCGGUGGAAUGCGUAGAUAUCGGGAGGAACACCAGUGGCGAAGGCGGCCUACUGGGCACCAACUGACGCUGAGGCUCGAAAGUGUGGGUAGCAAACAGGAUUAGAUACCCUGGUAGUCCACACCGUAAACGAUGAUUACUAGGUGUUGGAGGAUUGACCCCUUCAGUGCCGCAGUUAACACAAUAAGUAAUCCACCUGGGGAGUACGACCGCAAGGUUGAAACUCAAAGGAAUUGACGGGGGCCCGCACAAGCAGUGGAGUAUGAGGUUUAAUUCGACGCAACGCGAAGAACCUUACCAAGUCUUGACAUCCCUUGACGAUGCUGGAAACAGUAUUUCUCUUCGGAGCAAGGAGACAGGUGGUGCAUGGUUGUCGUCAGCUCGUGUCGUGAGAUGUUGGGUUAAGUCCCGCAACGAGCGCAACCCUUAUGGUCAGUUACUACGCAAGAGGACUCUGGCCAGACUGCCGUUGACAAAACGGAGGAAGGUGGGGAUGACGUCAAAUCAUCAUGCCCUUUAUGACUUGGGCUACACACGUACUACAAUGGCGUUAAACAAAGAGAAGCAAGACCGCGAGGUGGAGCAAAACUCAGAAACAACGUCCCAGUUCGGACUGCAGGCUGCAACUCGCCUGCACGAAGUCGGAAUUGCUAGUAAUCGUGGAUCAGCAUGCCACGGUGAAUACGUUCCCGGGCCUUGCACUCACCGCCCGUCA
RNAcentral lists this ribosomal RNA (1379 nucleotides) under uncultured bacterium. Its description in RNAcentral is "16S ribosomal RNA". It matches the Rfam family "Bacterial small subunit ribosomal RNA". The record is from RNAcentral.